GUGUCUGGUGGGUAGUUUGACUGGGGCGGUCUCCUCCUAAAGAGUAACGGAGGAGCACGAAGGUUGGCUAAUCCUGGUCGGACAUCAGGAGGUUAGUGCAAUGGCAUAAGCCAGCUUGACUGCGAGCGUGACGGCGCGAGCAGGUGCGAAAGCAGGUCAUAGUGAUCCGGUGGUUCUGAAUGGAAGGGCCAUCGCUCAACGGAUAAAAGGUACUCCGGGGAUAACAGGCUGAUACCGCCCAAGAGUUCAUAUCGACGGCGGUGUUUGGCACCUCGAUGUCGGCUCAUCACAUCCUGGGGCUGAAGUAGGUCCCAAGGGUAUGGCUGUUCGCCAUUUAAAGUGGUACGCGAGCUGGGUUUAGAACGUCGUGAGACAGUUCGGUCCCUA
This 387-nucleotide ribosomal RNA is filed under the name Escherichia coli. RNAcentral's name for it is "partial 23S ribosomal RNA". It matches the Rfam family "Bacterial large subunit ribosomal RNA", at positions 2254 to 2640 of the family's 2925-position model. Lineage: Bacteria; Pseudomonadati; Pseudomonadota; Gammaproteobacteria; Enterobacterales; Enterobacteriaceae. RNAcentral also lists the same sequence under 1 other name. The record is from RNAcentral.